AUAUUUCUGCAUGAUCCAGCAAUGUUGCUGAUACAGCAGGCUGUUGUGAGUAAUUGCCAAGGUGACAGGGUGUUGUCCACCAAAGGUGGAGUACAUUUGGUAUGGCCAGGUCCUAUCUAACUCCAUCUGUAAUACAUAAUCUACAAACCUCUGUGAAAUUCAUGGCUGAAGGUAUUUAGCAUGGCAUCACAUUACGAUUUUUUCCCAUGGGAAGAAUGACUACACUGCACUAAGGAUGAGCAGUGUACAGCACACACAAAGUUUGGAGGGCACUGAGUGAGUCUUGGCAGAGAACACAAUUGGGAAGACUGUGUCGCCAGAUGUACUCCUUGGCCUAGUACAAGGCGAAAAAGCUCAGCUGUAAAUACUGAGAAGUGUGCCGGAAGCUGAUAUUGAAAGACACGGGUGCCAAUGACGAAGGCACACCCGACCUCACAGUCACUCAGAGAGCCAUCAGUGUAUACAAAGGUACUUUCACAAAGUUCCAUGCGAAGGCCAUGAAAAUGAAGGCGAUAGACUGAGGCUAGAGUAGUAAUUAGAUAGAUUUUGUUUUUAUAUCCCCUAUAGGAGCACAGUGUAGAAAGAUAAAAAAUAUUUCUAGAUUUUCACAUAAUAUGGGCUCUUGAGAUUUUGUAAGUAGGCAUUAGUGGGAUAAUUUGCAUGUAUCUUCUAGAGUCUGCCAAUUCAGAUGUUUCAACAUGUCAGUGAGUCUUCCAUGAGUCACACAAACCUAUGAUCACUUUAGCCAUCUUCCUUUAUGUACUGCCAUGAUAAAGCAUAUCUGAUAACAAUAUCUACAUAUACCGGUGGCUAUAGUAUCACAUACGCAAGGUAUAAAAGAACGUGCCUUGGCAAAGCUGUUGUUUGUACUCAGGUGAUUCAUCUGAAAAUGUUUCCAACAUGAUUGUGGCCACACAACUGGAAUGCAGAAUGGUAGUUGUGCCUAGAUGCAUGGUACAUUCCAUUUUUAAAAUUGUUACGGAAUUCUAUAUUCCGAGAUUGACAGCGUCAAGAGUGUGCUGAGAAUGCCAAAUUUCAGGCAUUACCUUAUACUACAGACGAUGCAGUGGCAGAUGGCCUUCACUUACAGAGAGCAGGGGCAUUUGCAAAGAGUUUUCAGUGCUAACAAUUGCAAAAAUCAAUGUGUGACAUAAGACGAACAUAUCAGUUAGGACAGUGUGGCGAAAUUUGGCGUUAAUGGACUAUGACAGCAGACAUCCAACGCAAGUGUCUUUGCUAACAACAUCACCUGCAGCACCUCUCCUGGGCUUGUGACCAUAUCGACUGGACCCUAGAUGACUGGGAAACCAUGGCCUGAUCAGAUGAUUCCCAAGUUCAUUUGGUAAGAGCUGAUCGUAGGGUUAGAGUGUGGCGCAGACCCCACAAAGCCGUAGACCCAAGUUGUCAACAAGGCUCUGCAAGCAGGUGGUUGGUCCCUAAUGGUGUGGGCCAUUUUUACUUGGAAAAGACUGCGUCCUGGUUAUGGUCAGCUGCUUGAAGAACAUUUGCAGACAUUUAGGGAUUUCAUCUUCCCAAACAAUGAUGGAAUUUUUGUGGAUAACAAUGUACUGUGCCACAAGGCCACAAUUGUGUUGGUUUGAAGAACAUUCUGGACAGUUUGAGCAAAUUAUUUGGCCACCCAGAUCGACCGACAUGAAUCCCAUCGAGCAUUUAUGGGAUAUAAUUGAGAGAUUAGUUCAUGCAUAAGAUCCUGCACAGACAAUGUCUUCCCAAUUACAGAUGGCUAUAGAGGCAGCAUGGCUCACUAUUCCUACAGGGACUUCCAUUGACUGAGUCCAUGCCACAUCGAGCUGCUGCACUUUGCCAGGCAAAAGGCGGUUCAAAAACACAUUAGGAGGUAUCACAUAAGUUUCGUCACCCCAGUGUAUAUGUUCAGUAUCUCACGUAAGUCAUAUCUGGUAUGAGUCCCACGGACUUAAGCUGUAUUUUGAAAUGGGACACUCAUGUGGUAUGAAAGGAGUCUACUUUGUAGAUUGGCUACAUGUCCCAAGUAUCCUGCCAAUGGACUGAAGUCUGCCAUCUGACUUGCCUAUGACUUAGCCUGUGUGGACAUUCCAUUUCAUUUCCAAACAAAGUGUUAUACCCAGGUAUUUUUGAGUUGACUGAUUCUAAUUAUGAAAUUGUUGUUUUAGGGUACUACACUUUUUCGUUUUGUGAAGUGUGUAAUUUUAUAUUUCUGUGUGUUUAAAGUAAGUUGCUAGUUUAUGUACCGCUUUGAAAUCCUAUCAAGAUUUAAUGAAAUAAUUCUGCAGCAUUUUUCACAUUGUACUUCAUUAUAAAUAACUACAUCACGUAUGAUAAACUCUGACCUUGUUAUUGCAAUUACUCUGCAAGGUCGUUAAUGUAGUCUGCCUACAUAGCUGAGUGGUCAGAAUGACUGGUUGUCAUGUGUAAGACCUGGGUUUGAUUUCUGGUACUGCCAGGGACGUUUACUUGGUGGGAGGAUGAGAGAGGUUGCAGUCAGCCUCAUGAUCCCAAUUGAGAGGCUACUUGACUGAGUAGUAGUGGCUCCAGCCCUCAGAAACUCACAAUAGCAGAGUAAGUGGUGUGCUGAUCCCACGCCCCUCCAUACUGCAUCGAAUGAUGCCAAUGGCCGAGGAUGACACGGCAGUCAGUCGGUACUGAUGGACCCAUCAGGGCUUGUGGAUGGCAUCAAUAAUACACAUAAUGAGCAAGGGUCUCCCUAAAGACUUUCCUAUGGCACACCUAGGUUACUUUUACUUUUGUCGAUUACUUUCUGUCUCAACGUGCUGUGUCCUGCCUACCAGGAAAUUAUCAACCCAGUCACAAAGUUUGUUCGAUAUUCCAUCUGAUCAUACUUUGGUUUAUAAAUGUUGAUGUGUUAUAGAGUCAACGUUUUUCAGAAGCCAAAAACAUGCUUGAUCCAUGGUUUUCAGGAGGUUGUGAGAAAAGCACAAGUUGGGUUUCGUGUCAUCUACAUCUACAUGAUUACUCUGCAAUUCACAUUUAAGUGCUUGGCAGAGGGUUCAUCGAACCACAAUCAUACUAUCUCUCUACCAUUUCACUCAUGAACAGCGCGCCGGAAAAAUGAACUCCUAAACCUUUCUGUUCGAGCUCUGAUUUCUCUUAUUUUAUUUUGAUGAUCAUUCCUACCUAUGUAGGUUGGGCUCAACAAAAUAUUUUCGCAUUCGGAAGAGAAAGUUGAUGACUAAAAUUUCGUAAAUAGAUCUCGCCACGACGAAAAACGUCUUUGCUUUAAUGACUUCCAUCCCAACUCGCGUAUCAUAUCUGCCACACUCUCUCCCCUAUUACGUGAUAAUACAAAACGAGCUGCCCUUUUUUGCAUCCUUUCGAUGUCCUCUGUCAAUCCCACCUGGUAAGGAUCCCACACUGCGCAGCAAUAUUCUAACAGAGGACGAACAAGCGUAGUGUAAGCUGUCUCUUUAGUGGACUUGUUGCAUCUUCUAAGUGUCCUACCUUUGGCUGGCCUUCCCCACAAUAUUAUCUAUGUGGUCUUUCCAACUGAAGUUGUUCGUAAUUUUAACACCCAGGUACUUAGUUGAAUUGGCAGCCUUGAGAAUUGUACUAUUUAUCGAGUAAUCGAAUUCCUACGGAUUUCUUUUGGAACUCAUGUGGAUCACCUCACACUUUUGGUUAUUUAGCAUCAACUGCCACCUGCCACACCAUACAGCAAUUUUUUCUAAAUCGCUUUGCAACUGAUACUGGUCUUCAGAUGACCUUACUAGACGAUAGUGAUGGGCUAAACUGCGAUUUUCCGAUAUCAGUGAUUUCUGUGAAUGCUACUUUUCAGUAUCUGUUAUUCUUAACUGUGAUUUGUCGCAGUUAAGAGUCGCAGUUAAGGAACAUAGGUCGUGUAUCCCUCCGCCACUGCUAUUUCUGCUACUUCCGCGAUUUCUGUGACGUACCACCGUAUGAAAAAGUUACAUCUGUCCACACAGAAAAUUGCAUCUCAAGAAACCUGUCAUUGGUAAGUAUGUUUUACGUUUAUUCUUCUGUUGGCUUUAAUUUUGUAUUAAAGAAACAACUGUGAAAAUAUUAAUAGUGUAAUUAAUAUGUAAGUAGCCGUACAGUACCGUAAUAGUUCGUGUUUAGAAAAUGAAUUCUAACAUAUUGUUAUGUUCAUAGGUACCUGAACUACAUUUCAGUCACUCAGUAAAGUGAUAACUCAAAAUAUCAUUGUCAACAGAUCUGAAGAAAUUGCCACUGCGUCUUUAGACCGUUUUCGUCAGACGAGAGACGCAGUUCUGACUGAUUACUGGUUGCUGUACGUAUCUAUCCACAUCAAGGCUGUUGAGAGAGACUCGUGAAGAUUCAAGACAGCUCUUAGAGGAUUUGCAGUUUAAAAGUGAAAUAAUUAUGAAAGAAGUGUGUCAGUGAUUCAUCUGUUUUAUUGAAGUUGUUGUGCGAUUUUAAGGGAAUAAUAAAUGA
Long non-coding RNA from Schistocerca serialis cubense, 4431 nucleotides. RefSeq lists it as uncharacterized. NCBI's taxonomy places the organism in Eukaryota, Metazoa, Arthropoda, Insecta, Orthoptera, Acrididae. The transcript is spliced from 3 exons. The record is from RefSeq and is a predicted model, not a curated record.